Molecule: long non-coding RNA, 500 nt
Organism: Artibeus jamaicensis (Jamaican fruit-eating bat)
Lineage: Eukaryota; Metazoa; Chordata; Mammalia; Chiroptera; Phyllostomidae
Exons: 3
Source: RefSeq, a predicted model, not a curated record
GGGAACGGUCUGCAGCCACUGACACCAGCAACUUCCCCAGCAAACAAGACUCCUCUGAACUUGUGUCUCUCUGAAUGGACAACCACACCCCAGAAAUCACUGCAAAAGUCUCAGACACGUCUGAAGAGGGGACUGACAGGUUGGCCGGAGGGAGCAAGAGGACCUUCCUUCCAAGGUGGGAAGAGCCUGGUCGCCAGAGUCCCCAACUCCAGCAUCUCAGAACCUCCAGCACUGACAGCAGCCUCAACCUGUGAGCAGUAUGUCCAGUGCCCAGCAAGCUUGACUCAUAAUGGAUUCUCAAUAAAGGUGGACUGAAUACGCCAACAAUGACGAGAUGGAUGCACGGAUGGAUGGGUGACUGGUUAAAAAUUAAAUAAAGGGGCAUUUUUAAUGCUUAAUUUCACACAAGGCUGUACCAAGAUCAUUGCUGGCUGACUUUUAUCUUCAAAGCUAUGUAAUCACGGACAGAAAAACUCACCAUGCUAAGUAAGACAUGGGGA